Molecule: long non-coding RNA, 175 nt
Organism: Bradysia coprophila
Lineage: Eukaryota; Metazoa; Arthropoda; Insecta; Diptera; Sciaridae
Source: RefSeq, a predicted model, not a curated record
AAAGUGAAUUUCUAGUCAUUUGUGAUUCGUAAUUUUAAGUUGUGAUUAUAUCCCAUGAUUGCGGUCAGUUACAUGACCGAAUGCAAGGGGUCGAACAAUAAACAAAAUUGAAAUUUGGUAAACAAAGCAGUUUUCAUUUUUGGUUGGUCAAACAAGCCAUACAACUUCUAGUCAA